Molecule: long non-coding RNA, 226 nt
Filed under: Lathyrus oleraceus (garden pea)
Lineage: Eukaryota; Viridiplantae; Streptophyta; Magnoliopsida; Fabales; Fabaceae
Description: Pisum sativum (pea) long non-coding RNA (PSAT_LNC039490)
Source: RNAcentral
AUAGAGAAGCCCAUUUCCUUACAGGAAAAUAAAAAGUUAAUGGAAAUAGAAAAGACAUUAGGAAUUUAUACAGGUUCAGUCAAGAAGACUUAAUCAUGUUCCUGGGAUUUGAUCUUGAGAGUAUUUAGUAAUGCUUAAGAGCUUUUAGUAGGUUAAACUCUCGAAGCCCCUUAUAUAAGCACUACUACUAAAACACCUAUCACAACGGUUGGAAAAUGGAUACCAC